This 478-nucleotide ribosomal RNA is filed under the name uncultured bacterium. RNAcentral's name for it is "partial 16S ribosomal RNA". It matches the Rfam family "Bacterial small subunit ribosomal RNA", at positions 28 to 523 of the family's 1533-position model. The record is from RNAcentral.
GACGAACGCUGGCGGCGUGCUUAACACAUGCAAGUCGAACGGUAAGGCCCUUCGGGGUACACGAGUGGCGAACGGGUGAGUAACACGUGGGUGAUCUGCCCUGCACUUCGGGAUAAGCCUGGGAAACUGGGUCUAAUACCGGAUAGGACGCCUGGCUUCCUGGUCGGGGGUGGAAAGCUUUUGCGGUGUGGGAUGGGCCCGCGGCCUAUCAGCUUGUUGGUGGGGUAAUGGCCUACCAAGGCGACGACGGGUAGCCGGCCUGAGAGGGUGACCGGUCGCACUGGGACUGAGAUACGGCCCAGACUCCUACGGGAGGCAGCAGUGGGGAAUAUUGCACAAUGGGCGCAAGCCUGAUGCAGCGACGCCGCGUGAGGGAUGACGGCCUUCGGGUUGUAAACCUCUUUCAGCUAUGACGAAGCGCAAGUGACGGUAGUAGCAGAAGAAGGACCGGCCAACUACGUGCCAGCCGCCGCUGUAA